ACCGGCAAACGGGUGCGGAACACGUACACAACCUUCCUAUAAGUGGGGAAUAGCCCAGAGAAAUUUGGAUUAAUACCCCGUAACAUAACGAUGUGGCAUCACAUUGUUAUUAUAGCUUCGGCGCUUAUUGAUGGGUGUGCGGCUGAUUAGAUAGUUGGCGGGGUAACGGCCCACCAAGUCUACGAUCAGUAGCUGAUGUGAGAGCAUGAUCAGCCACACGGGCACUGAGACACGGGCCAGACUCCUACGGGAGGCAGCAGUAAGGAAUAUUGGUCAAUGGACGCAAGUCUGAACCAGCCAUGCCGCGUGAAGGAUUAAGGUCCUCUGGAUUGUAAACUUCUUUUAUCUGGGACGAAAAAAGGCUUUUCUAAGUCACUUGACGGUACCAGAUGAAUAAGCACCGGCUAACUCCGUGCCAGCAGCCGCGGUAAUACGGAGGGUGCAAGCGUUAUCCGGAUUCACUGGGUUUAAAGGGUGCGUAGGCGGGCAGGUAAGUCAGUGGUGAAAUCCUGGAGCUUAACUCCAGAACUGCCAUUGAUACUAUCUGUCUUGAAUAUUGUGGAGGUAAGCGGAAUAUGUCAUGUAGCGGUGAAAUGCUUAGAUAUGACAUAGAACACCUAUUGCGAAGGCAGCUUACUACGCAUAUAUUGACGCUGAGGCACGAAAGCGUGGGGAUCAAACAGGAUUAGAUACCCUGGUAGUCCACGCCCUAAACGAUGGAUACUCGACAUACGCG
Molecule: ribosomal RNA, 736 nt
Filed under: uncultured Chitinophagaceae bacterium
Lineage: Bacteria; Pseudomonadati; Bacteroidota; Chitinophagia; Chitinophagales; Chitinophagaceae
Description: bacterial SSU rRNA
Rfam family: Bacterial small subunit ribosomal RNA
Source: RNAcentral